AAUGAAGUGUCUGAUUUAAAGAAUUAUUUUGAUAGAAUAAAACAUGUAUAAUAUACCUUCAUUA
This 64-nucleotide transfer RNA is filed under the name Hydraena gracilis. RNAcentral's name for it is "tRNA-Ile". Lineage: Eukaryota; Metazoa; Arthropoda; Insecta; Coleoptera; Hydraenidae. The record is from RNAcentral.